This is a non-coding RNA of Borealophlyctis nickersoniae, 102 nucleotides long. Lineage: Eukaryota; Fungi; Chytridiomycota; Chytridiomycetes; Rhizophlyctidales; Borealophlyctidaceae. The record is from the annotation of a GenBank genome assembly.
GCCCGCGUGGCCCAAUGGACAAGGCAGUGCCCUCCUAGUCACGUGAUCGUCACGUGAUCAGCGGAAAGGCGAAGAUUGCGGGUUCGAGUCCCGCCGUGGGUU